Girardinichthys multiradiatus is the source of this 1635-nucleotide long non-coding RNA. RefSeq lists it as uncharacterized. The record is from RefSeq and is a predicted model, not a curated record. The transcript is spliced from 3 exons. Lineage: Eukaryota; Metazoa; Chordata; Actinopteri; Cyprinodontiformes; Goodeidae.
CCGACGCAUGGUGCAUGGUGGCAGAGGAGGAGUCCCGGUACGUCCCGCUGUUCAUUGCGGCGUUGCUGGCUCCAUAAUUUAGCAGCUGAUAGUCGGGACCAUUUGGGUAGCGCCCUGAGAACGAGUUUACAAAGCUGCGGCUUGUCCCCAUGGCCAAACUACAGACAGUCCGACUGAUAAAUCGACACAAAGACUCUAUUUUUGCUUAUACUUUACCCUCCCAUCAAUGCAUUCCCAAAAAACGUCUUCUCUCAUUGAAGACGCUGUUGAGAGAAGGUUGGGAAGCUGAGUAACUUUCAAGCCGAAUUCUCGUGAUCCGUGCUGGACAGCCUGAAUUUGGAAUUUGCAACCUUUCUUUUUAACCUACUUUUUGCUUUUUGACCCACAUCUCCCCUCUCCUGGCCUCUCUCGGCCGUCCUCCCUCUCUCGCCGGCAGGACGCUCUGUUUCCUCCCCGCUUUGUGGGAACGGGAAGCAACCAAAUUGUUUUGGAGUUGACUGGGGUUUAAUCAUUGAUGAGCAGCAACUCUCAGAAAAGGAAAGGAAUGGCCUGCAGCCGAGGACAGACACAGGACGGUAACACUUUAUUACGUGUGCAGGUUUGGUGGAGAGCCAGGAGGCAAAAAGCACCAACCGGCAGAAAAAUCAAGUGUUCUGCAAGAAGUUUGAGUUUGGCGCAAAUAGAGCGUGUGUUUACAGCAGAUACAACAGACGGGAGCAUAUUCUGUACAACUGUUUAAAAACGUUGAUUUGGUCUUGUUCAUUUCGGAUCUGCUGUAUUGUCCCUUAGAUCGACACACAACCGUUUAACUCUAAGUCCUGCAGCGCGCCCUUUGCAAAUAAAUAAAUACAUAAAUAAUAGAAUAAGGCUGCCUAUUAAUGUUAAUCGCUGCUUUUUUACGGUGCUGUAUACUUUAUUAUUAUUAUUAGUGUUAUUAUUAUUAUUGUUAUUAUUAUUAUUGUUAUUAUUGUUGCUGUUGUUAAUAAUUAUAAUGAUACAAAUAAUAAUAGGAAGAAGAUAAUUUUAAUUGUUGUGUUUUGCUAACGGAGUUUUCUUUAACGUGUGAUGCCCAUCCUCUUAAAGCGCAUCCUGAGAAAUGUUAAGCUAUGUUUUAGAACAGGUCUGUUCUCCGAGGUUUAGACUGAAACGUCUGUAAUAUUCUGAGAAUAAAUGAUCGGGCAUUUUUACUGUCUUGUUAAUGUAUUAGUUGCUUUAACAUUGUUUUUCAUGCGUGAUAUUUUUCACAUGCUGUAUAAUUCUUAUGUUUUUACUUUUAGAAAUGUAUCAACGUGUUAAAUGGGGGCUAUGUGCAUGUACAAAUUUUGGAGGUUGUCAGCGUGGGAAGCCUUCUAUGUAUAGCCUCAGCAAUGAAGCUGCUGCACUUUAUGGAUCCACAGUUAGAGACAGACUGCGCUGGACUCCCACGACUUCUAAAGAUCAUAAUAAGCCCAAACGUUUAAACUUUUUCAUAACGGAUAUACUUGUUAAGCUGGCUGUAUUUCUGCGCAGUAAAUCAGACGUGUGCGUCUGUGAGUUAACUUUAGUGUAAACAUCUGAGGGCCGCUGAAGGAAGCCCAGGAAUGUGAGAAACUUCAGAAAUCAGCGGCAAUUAAAGCUAAAAGAGUCGGACCUCUA